CCUGGCGACGGUUGUCCAGGUUCAAGUGCGUAGGCUGAGUGUUUAGGUAAAUCCGGAUACUCUUAAGGCUGAGACACGACGUCGAGCUACUACGGUAGUGAAGUCAUUGAUGCCAUGCUUCCAGGAAAAGCCUCUAAGCUUCAGAUUGUAAGGAAUCGUACCCCAAACCGACACAGGUGGUCGGGUAGAGAAUACCAAGGCGCUUGAGAGAACUCGGGUGAAGGAACUAGGCAAAAUGGUACCGUAACUUCGGGAGAAGGUACGCUCUUGAUGGUGAAGUCCCUUGCGGAUGGAGCUGACGAGAGUCGCAGAUACCAGGUGGCUGCAACUGUUUAUUAAAAACACAGCACUGUGCAAAAUCGUAAGAUGACGUAUACGGUGUGACGCCUGCCCGGUGCCGGAAGGUUAAUUGAUGGGGUUAGCGUAAGCGAAGCUCUUGAUCGAAGCCCCGGUAAACGGCGGCCGUAACUAUAACGGUCCUAAGGUAGCGAAAUUCCUUGUCGGGUAAGUUCCGACCUGCACGAAUGGCGUAAUGAUGGCCACGCUGUCUCCACCCGAGACUCAGUGAAAUUGAAAUCGCUGUGAAGAUGCAGUGUACCCGCGGCUAGACGGAAAGACCCCGUGAACCUUUACUACAGCUUGGCACUGAACAUUGAACCUACAUGUGUAGGAUAGGUGGGAGGCUUUGAAGACGUGACGCCAGUUGCGUUGGAGCCGUCCUUGAAAUACCACCCUUGUAUGUUUGAUGUUCUAACGUUGGCCCCUAAUCGGGGUUGCGGACAGUGCCUGGUGGGUAGUUUGACUGGGGCGGUCUCCUCCCAAAGAGUAACGGAGGAGCACGAAGGUGGGCUAAUCACGGUUGGACAUCGUGAGGUUAGUGCAAUGGCAUAAGCCCGCUUAACUGCGAGAAUGACGGUUCGAGCAGGUGCGAAAGCAGGUCAUAGUGAUCCGGUGGUUCUGAAUGGAAGGGCCAUCGCUCAACGGAUAAAAGGUACUCCGGGGAUAACAGGCUGAUACCGCCCAAGAGUUCAUAUCGACGGCGGUGUUUGGCACCUCGAUGUCGGCUCAUCACAUCCUGGGGCUGAAGUCGGUCCCAAGGGUAUGGCUGUUCGCCAUUUAAAGUGGUACGCGAGCUGGGUUUAGAACGUCGUGAGACAGUUCGGUCCCUAUCUGCCGUGGGCGUUGGAAGAUUGAAGGGGGCUGCUCCUAGUACGAGAGGACCGGAGUGGACGAACCUCUGGUGUUCGGGUUGUGUCGCCAGACGCAUUGCCCGGUAGCUAAGUUCGGAAUCGAUAACCGCUGAAAGCAUCUAAGCGGGAAGCGAGCCCUGAGAUGAGUCUUCCCUGAUACUUUAAGUAUCCU
Molecule: ribosomal RNA, 1362 nt
Filed under: Vibrio vulnificus
Lineage: Bacteria; Pseudomonadati; Pseudomonadota; Gammaproteobacteria; Vibrionales; Vibrionaceae
Description: bacterial LSU rRNA
Rfam family: Bacterial large subunit ribosomal RNA
Source: RNAcentral